AGUGAACGCUGGCGGUAGGCCUAACACAUGCAAGUCGAACGGCAGCACAGUAAGAGCUUGCUCUUACGGGUGGCGAGUGGCGGACGGGUGAUGAAUACAUCGGAAUCUACUUUUUCGUGGGUGAUAACGUAGGGAAACUUACGCUAAUACCGCAUACGACCUACGGGUGAAAGCAGGGGAUCUUCGGACCUUGCGCGAUUGAAUGAGCCGAUGUCGGAUUAGCUAGUUGGCGGGGUAAAGGCCCACCAAGGCGACGAUCCGUAGCUGGUCUGAGAGGAUGGUCAGCCACACUGGAACUGAGAAACGGUCCAGACUCCUACGGGAGGCAGCAGUGGGGAAUAUUGGACAAUGGGCGCAAGCCUGAUCCAGCCAUACCGCGUGGGUGAAGAAGGCCUUCGGGUUUUAAAGCCCUUUUGUUGGGAAAGAAAAGCAGCAGGUUAAUACCCCGCUGUUCUGACGGUACCCAAAGAAUAAGCACCGGCUAACUUCGUG
Molecule: ribosomal RNA, 492 nt
Filed under: uncultured bacterium
Lineage: Bacteria
Description: partial 16S ribosomal RNA
Rfam family: Bacterial small subunit ribosomal RNA
Source: RNAcentral